This 119-nucleotide ribosomal RNA is filed under the name Pteropus alecto (black flying fox). The record is from RNAcentral. Lineage: Eukaryota; Metazoa; Chordata; Mammalia; Chiroptera; Pteropodidae.
GUCUGCGGCCAUGCCACCCCGAACCAGCCCUAUCCCGUCUGAUUUCGGAAGCUAAGCAGGGUCAGGCCUGGUUAGUACUUGGAUGGGAGACCACCUAGGGAGACCAGGUGCUGUAGGUG